Long non-coding RNA from Bos taurus (domestic cattle), 510 nucleotides. NCBI's taxonomy places the organism in Eukaryota, Metazoa, Chordata, Mammalia, Artiodactyla, Bovidae. The record is from Ensembl.
GUACGCCUAUUCUAGCAAGACUGGUUGAGGUGUCUGAGCCCCGCCGACCCUUUCCCGGGGAAACACGUAGAGGCUGGUACCCGGGCGCGGGAGACGCUCACCCCCUGUUCCCGUGAAGGACUGCCCUUCGGAACAAGUCGGCGCCAGAAGAUCAGUGGUGUUCCAAGUGACAUCUUUUCCCUCCAAGAGGGCAUUUGGCAGUGUCUGGAGAUUUUUUUUUUGGCUGUGACAACCAGGAGGUGCCGACUGUCCCCUAUAUGGGAAGGUCAAGGUUGUGUGACCUGGGACCUAAGACUUCUGAGGUCAUAGCUGGGAUGUUCCAACGUGCCUCCCUGAAGCACUGAGCCUGGAUGAAAGCAUCUGCAGAUAACAGCUCCUACCUGAAUAAGGCCCGCUCCAUGAUGAUCUAUUUGUCCCAGGGAAUAGACGAUGGCAGGAAGGGAUCAAACCUCUCCAUAUCCCCUGCAUUGCAAGACAGAUUGAUUCUUAACCACUGGACCACCAGGGAAG